Molecule: ribosomal RNA, 468 nt
Filed under: uncultured bacterium
Lineage: Bacteria
Description: partial 16S ribosomal RNA
Rfam family: Bacterial small subunit ribosomal RNA
Source: RNAcentral
GACGAACGCUGGCGGCGUGCUUAACACAUGCAAGUCGAACGGAAAGGUCCUGCUUUUGUGGGGUGCUCGAGUGGCGAACGGGUGAGUAACACGUGAGUAACCUGCCCUUGACUUUGGGAUAACUUCAGGAAACUGGGGCUAAUAUCGGAUAGGAGCUCUUGCUGCAUGGGGGGGGUUGGAAAGUUUCGGCGGUUGGGGAUGGACUCGCGGCUUAUCAGCUGGUUGGUGGGGUAGUGGCUUACCAAGGUUUUGACGGGUAGCCGGCCUGAGAGGGUGACCGGCCACAUUGGGACUGAGAUACGGAGCAGAAUCCUACGGGAGGCAGCAGUGGGGAAUAUUGCAGAAUGGGGGGAAGCCUGAUGCAGCGACGCCGCGUGCGGGAUGACGGCUUUCGGGUUGUAAACAGCUUUGGAAUGUGCCGAAGAGUGAGUGACGGUAAUGGGUAAAGAAGCACCGGCUAACUACGUG